Molecule: ribosomal RNA, 506 nt
Filed under: Elimia carinifera
Lineage: Eukaryota; Metazoa; Mollusca; Gastropoda; Pleuroceridae
Description: partial large subunit ribosomal RNA
Rfam family: Bacterial large subunit ribosomal RNA
Source: RNAcentral
GGCUCUUUGAAUUUAUUUUUAUAGAGAGUCAGGCCUGCCCAGUGAAUAAUAUUUAACGGCCGCGGUACUCUGACCGUGCAAAGGUAGCAUAAUCAUUUGCCUUAUAAUUGAAGGCUAGUAUGAAUGGUUUAACGAAAGCAAUACUGUCUCCUUUCUAUUUUUAAGAACUUAACUUUUAGGUGAAGAGGCCCAAAUUUAAUUGAAGGACAAGAAGACCCUGUCGAGCUUAAAAGAUACUAUAGAAGUUUAUAUAUUUUUAAAUAAAUUCCCUAUUAAGCUUUUUAGUUGGGGCGACUAAGGAACAAAAAAAGCUUCUUAUAAUAACUAAACACCUGAGUAUUGAUCCGGCAAUAACCGAUUAAGAAAAUUAGUUACCGCAGGGAUAACAGCAUAAUCUCUCUUAAGAGACCUAAUCGAAAGAGGGGGUUGUGACCUCGAUGUUGGACUAGAAUAUCCUAAAGAUGCAGAAGUCUUUAAAGGUCAGUCUGUUCGACUGUUAAAAUUCU